Molecule: ribosomal RNA, 643 nt
Filed under: uncultured bacterium
Lineage: Bacteria
Description: bacterial SSU rRNA
Rfam family: Bacterial small subunit ribosomal RNA
Source: RNAcentral
CAGUCGAGGGGCAGCAUGGGGAGUACAAUACUCUCUGAUGGCGACCGGCUCAAGGGUGCGUAACGCGUGAGCAACUUGCCCUCAUCAGGGGAAUAAUCGCUGGAAACGGCGUCUAAUGCCCCAUGGUGAUGUCCUCAGGCAUCUGAGGUCAUCUAAAGAUCCGUCGGAUGGGGAUAGGCUCGCGUGACAUUAGCUAGACGGCGGGGUAACGGCCCACCGCGGCGACGAUGUCUAGGGGUUCUGAGAGGAAGGUCCCCCACACUGGAACUGAGACACGGUCCAGACUCCUACGGGAGGCAGCAGUGAGGAAUAUUGGUCAAUGGCCGGAAGGCUGAACCAGCCAUGCCGCGUGAAGGUCAGUGCCCUAUGGGCGUUAAACUUCUUUUGUGCGGGAGCAAUAAUGGUCACGUGUGGCCAGACGAGAGUACCGUACGAAUAAGCAUCGGCUAAUUCCGUGCCAGCAGCCGCGGUAAUACGGGGGAUGCAAGCGUUAUCCGGAUUUAUUGGGUUUAAAGGGUGCGUAGGCUGUGAGGUAAGUCAGCGGUGAAAUGCCCCCGCUCAACGGGGUGAAGUGCCAUUGAUACUGCCUUGCUGGAAUGCGGAUGCCGUGGGAGGAAUGUGUGGUGUAGCGGUGAAAUGCAUA